AUUGAACGCUGGCGGCAGGCCUAACACAUGCAAGUCGAGCGGAUGAAGGGAGCUUGCUCCUGGAUUCAGCGGCGGACGGGUGAGUAAUGCCUAGGAAUCUGCCUGGUAGUGGGGGAUAACGUCCGGAAACGGGCGCUAAUACCGCAUACGUCCCGAGGGAGAAAGUGGGGGAUCUUCGGACCUCACGCUAUCAGAUGAGCCUAGGUCGGAUUAGCUAGUUGGUGGGGUAAAGGCCUACCAAGGCGACGAUCCGUAACUGGUCUGAGAGGAUGAUCAGUCACACUGGAACUGAGACACGGUCCAGACUCCUACGGGAGGCAGCAGUGGGGAAUAUUGGACAAUGGGCGAAAGCCUGAUCCAGCCAUGCCGCGUGCGUGAAGAGGGUCUUCGGAUUGUAAAGCACUUUAAGUUGGGAGGAAGGGCAGUAAGUUAAUACCUUGCUGUUUUGACGUUACCAACAGAAUAAGCACCGGCUAACUUCGUG
Molecule: ribosomal RNA, 484 nt
Filed under: uncultured bacterium
Lineage: Bacteria
Description: partial 16S ribosomal RNA
Rfam family: Bacterial small subunit ribosomal RNA
Source: RNAcentral